This 492-nucleotide ribosomal RNA is filed under the name uncultured bacterium. RNAcentral describes it as "partial 16S ribosomal RNA". It matches the Rfam family "Bacterial small subunit ribosomal RNA", at positions 29 to 507 of the family's 1533-position model. The record is from RNAcentral.
AGUGAACGCUGGCGGUAGGCCUAACACAUGUAAGUCGAACGGCAGCACAGUAAGAGCUUGCUCUUACGGGUGGCGAGUGGCGGACGGGUGAGGAAUACAUCGGAAUCUACUUUUUCGUGGGGGGUAACGUAGGGAAACUUACGCUAAUACCGCAUACGACCUACGGGUGAAAGCAGGGGAUCUUCGGACCUUGCGCGAUUGAAUGAGCCGAUGUCGGAUUAGCUAGUUGGCGGGGUAGAGGCCCACCAAGGCGACGAUCCGUAGCUGGUCUGAGAGGAUGAUCAGCCACACUGGAACUGAGACACGGUCCAGACUCCUACGGGAGGCAGCAGUGGGGAAUAUUGGACAAUGGGCGCAAGCCUGAUCCAGCCAUACCGCGUGGGUGAAGAAGGCCUUCGGGUUGUAAAGCCCUUUUGUUGGGAAAGAAAAGCAGCAGGUUAAUACCCCGCUGUUCUGACGGUACCCAAAGAAUAAGCACCGGCUAACUUCGUG